RNAcentral lists this ribosomal RNA (525 nucleotides) under uncultured bacterium. RNAcentral's name for it is "bacterial SSU rRNA". It matches the Rfam family "Bacterial small subunit ribosomal RNA", at positions 355 to 896 of the family's 1533-position model. The record is from RNAcentral.
UGGGGAAUAUUGGACAAUGGGCGCAAGCCUGAUCCAGCCAUGCCGCGUGAGUGAAGAAGGCCUUAGGGUUGUAAAGCUCUUUCACCGAUGAAGAUAAUGACUGUAGUCGGAGAAGAAGCCCCGGCUAACUUCGUGCCAGCAGCCGCGGUAAUACGGAGGGUGCAAGCGUUGUUCGGAAUUACUGGGCGUAAAGCGCGUGUAGGCGGCCUUGUAAGUCAGAUGUGAAAGCCCUCGGCUCAACCGGGGAAGUGCAUCUGAAACGGCAAGGCUUGAGUACGGGAGAGGGAGGCGGAAUUCCCAGUGUAGAGGUGAAAUUCGUAGAUAUUGGGAGGAACACCGGUGGCGAAAGCGGCCUCCUGGACCGAUACUGACGCUGAGACGCGAAAGCGUGGGGAGCAAACAGGAUUAGAUACCCUGGUAGUCCACGCGGUAAACGAUGGGCACUAGGUGUGGGGGGUAUCCACUCCUCCCGUGCCGCAGCUAACGCAUUAAGUUAUCCGCCUGGGGAGUACGGUCGCAAGAUUA